RNAcentral lists this long non-coding RNA (1362 nucleotides) under Falco tinnunculus (common kestrel). RNAcentral's name for it is "lncRNA (ENSFTIG00000014473.1)". Lineage: Eukaryota; Metazoa; Chordata; Aves; Falconiformes; Falconidae. The record is from RNAcentral.
UGCUUCUCAGCAGGUCGCGCAUUGGCAGCAGUAGCAGCGCCGGAGGCCCGAGCCGUGCCAGUGGGCUUUCACGGCUUGGCUGAGGUUGUGACAUCCAAGAAAACUGUAACAAAUGUGAAGAUAAGAUGGCAGAACCAACGGUGAUCUGAGCAGCACAUGGCUGAAUCCAACAGGCUGCUGGACCCCAGACCCUGCUUUGCAGAGCAAAGGCCGCUGAGGUGACUUUGGUGCUGGCGGACCCCAGACCCCGCUUCGCAGAGCCCGGGCAGCUGAGGAGAUUUUAGCUCGCGCCGGGCAGGGUUGGCUGGCGGUGGAACGCGGGCCUGCGGAGGGCCGCGGCGCCGCCACCAGGCCGCGGGGGGCAGGCUCCGUCCGGCCGCCGUCGCUCCCCUCGCCGCCGCCCAGCUCCGCCGCGAGACCGGGGCUCGGAGCGCGGGCGCGGUGCCCCGCUGAGGCAGCCGCGGGACCGGCCCCGCUCCGCCCCGCCCCGCCCCGCCGAGCCGGUCCUGCGGAGGGGUGGCCGUGGGGGUGCGCAGGGCGGGGACUGCUGCCGCCCGCUCCCAGUGAGCUCAUCCCGCCGACGCGCCUGCCUGGCGGCGGAGGAGCCCUGUCUGGGCCGCGCCGCAGGAGCCCCUGGGCGAGGGGCAGGGCCCCGCGGGCGGAGCUGAACCUUUCUUUGAAGAUGAAAGAUUAAUCAGCAAGCCUUCAGACUCUUGUGUGUGUAAGAACAUCAGCCUGAUCUGUUGGUUAUUUGUGAUGAUACCCAUAAACAUCUGUAAGUUGAAAUUUAUAUUACUGGUUUUAAAAUCAAGAUUUUUCUGUAGAGAUGCUGUUUUGACUAAAAAUUGGCAUUUCAAACUCUACCGGGAGCUAGGUCUUCAUGUUUUUGAGAAGAACAGAGAAAGGUCUGGUUUGGGUUUUGUGUCUGGGUAAGGUCUGAGAAAACCAGCUAGUUUCAUGUCUUUUGGUUGCUUUCAGCUCUCAAGACUUAACAUGGAGGUUGGAGAAUUUGUUUAUCACAAAGUGGUGGCAGUGGAAAAAGAAAAAAGCAUAUAGUCUAACAAAUGUAUAAGGCCUUAUUUUUUUAAAACUAUGUUUGUAUAUAGGAGGCACCACUGUUAGAAAACUGACUUCUGAAUAAUAAGUAAGGCAUUAUAACAUUAAACUGAAACAACACCCCGAAGCAAGCACUGAAACAGUCCAUGAUCCUUACUGCAUUUAGUUUUGUAUUUAANAAAAAAAAAAAAAAAAAAAAGAAAGAAAAAACCUUUAUUUUGGUGGAGCCUUAAACUCUCUGAUCUUGUCCUGAAGGGAAGUAAAUAAAAGGAUCAAUUGCUUAUUAAUACAAACUAUCUAUUGUGC